CCCCAAAAUCCUCAGCACAGGAGAAAGAGCUACAGAGAGAGAAUGGAGCAAGGCAGGUCCUGGAGCACUGGUUGUGCUGCCUGGUGUGUGCCAGCAGUGUCAGCUGCCUUAGAGCAGCACCUCAGCUACUUCUCCUGCCCUCUGAAGACUUGUGUGAAAGUGACCAAGAUACAAAGGGCCCGGGGUGCUCCUGGAAGAGGAAAAGCCUACUGGUGUUGCUUGAAUGAAGGGGCUGAGGACAGUGCCUGAGUGUCUGCAUUCAUGUCCUGGGAAAGCAGUUGGAAAUUGAUCCUGGUUUGGUCACCCACUGAUGAGCUAAUUUUUAACACCAACCAUGAACAUCUCACUGCUGGAAUUGCGGUGUGCCCGGUCCUCAGCAAGCAUGUGAGCGAGCAAAUCACUCCAGCAGCGUGGAUCGUUCUUCUGCACCCAUUGUUAUGGAAAUCGCCUUAGAGACUGUUGCUCCAGCAAACAUUUUUAGAAGCACGAGUGAGUUGCGCAACAGGAAAACUGCUCGGAGGUGAGGAAAACCCCCCUCCAGGCUCUCAGCGCUGCCCCUUCCUCCAGCACCGCAGUGGAGCCCUGCUGGCUCUCCUGGUGGGGACGGGAUUCAGGGUGUUCCUUUGCCUGGUAAGGCAGGGAGAAAGUGCUUCUGGAGGAGAAGCCCCUUCUGCGUCAGUCUCCAAGGAAACCCUUGGUGUUGCGUGGCUCAGCCUCCGUUGCACGCCUGGGCAGAGGCUCACACGUCCCAGACUUGUGCCUUAAUCAUACAUCCACACUUUGAUCUGCUAGUGGCGUUUUAUGGGUGCAAAAUUUAGGCAAAUUGUGGGGUUUUCCUACCCCUACAUUUAGGGGUUUAUCUCAGAGAGCCCCAUGGUUGGAUUGGUGUGCAGCACAAGUGAAACCAGCCCUAUCUCUGUUUCGAAUGCACAUUCCUCACUGCUGACUCUGGAAGGAGAAGCCUUCUAAUGCUCCCACACCUCCCAGCUUCUCUCGAGCAAGCCUGGGAGCUGUGGUGGUUACAGGGAGGCUUGGGCAGCAGCUGCUUCCAGGUGUGCUGCCACCAGCCUGGGUGCAGUGCCUGAGCCAGGGCAGGUCACCCCUCUGCCCCCUGCCUGGUGACAAGCAGGAGGGGUAGAGGAGAGCAAGUCACUGCCUCAAAAGCUUCCAAACACCCACAGGUUAGGGCUGCCCACCCACAGGGAAGUUUCACUGCUCACCCCCCAUUUGUGCUCAAACGCCCAGCCCUGAGUUUUAAUUUUAAAAAAACAUCUCUUCUUGUCUCAAUUAACUACAAACAAUUGCUUCUCUUGAGUUUGCUCAUGCUCCUCAUCACUGCCUGCUGUGGAGCAGGACCAGCUCUCCAGCCUGUACCCAGGAGCUCCGAGCAGCCCCAGCUGAUGUAAAGGGAAAAGCACAGAUCCAGUGACCUUUGUUUGCCUCACUGCUGCCCACAGUGCCUGCCUGACAUUUGAGGAGUGCUCUUAAAAAAAAAAUGUACCAUUUCUGGCACACUGGCCCUGCUGCUGAAGAGCUGUUCCUCUUCCACCUCCUUCACCUGCUGGGAUUAAAAGCUACAGGUAAUGCUGAGGAGUAAAUGAAAGGCUUUCCAUGAGGAAAUAAGCUAAAACAGUAAACAAAAGGCUGAUUCUUAGAAGCAAAACAUCUGAAGCUGCCACCAGGAAAACAUGGUGAUGAAGCACUCUGGUCCUCGGAAGUUGCCUUACAUGUAUUGGAAAUUACCUUCUGACUCAACCAGCUCAGUGUGUCUGGUGCCACUGUGCUAAAAGCUUUUAGCUGACCUGAAUAGCCGAGGUUUUCAAGGAAAUAACAUUUCCCAUGAGAAAUAUCACCACCAGAGCCAAACCUUUCCUGAGAAAAGCCUGGGUUAGGUGGGUGAUUUCUCCUGCUCUGGGAGCAGCCUCCUUGAGGAGCUGAGCUCCCACUGCCGUGUCCCUGUGGGCAGGAGCUGCUCUGUGGGCACACCCAGAGCUCUGCUCUCACUCCUCUGCUGCCACAGCAUGGGGGUCUCCAAUGCAAGGUCCAAGUAAAAGCCUUUUAAUCAUCCUGCAGGCUCCUGGGAGCGUUCCUCUUUCCUGCUGCCCUUCUCCCGCCAGAGCAGAGUCUGGCUUCUUAUUCAGAGCCAGUGGCUCAUUCCCUGGGAUGUCUUUGCUUGAAUUUGCCUGGUCACCUCUUUCCCUGAGCACUGCUUCCUUGCUUGUCAGAUGGUGAGUGAAGGAACACAGGCACAGUGUGUGCUGAGGUGGCACCAGCUGCUGGCAGGAUCCCCCUUCCUCGUGCCCUGGGUGUCCCGAGGCUGGUGCCCCCCUCUGUUGUGGGCAGUGGUCAGAAGGGGAAGCAAUGUGUGUCUCCAAUUCCAUCCUUUUCUCCAAGAUCCACCACUUGAGCUUUGAAAUGCUGUGAGCUCUCCCUGCUCCCCUGGCUUUUCACAUUCCAGGGUGCCACUCACAAGGACCUCAGUGUGCAAAGAGGAGCUUUAUGAAGUCCAACAAAGGGACUUAGGAACUCCUGCCCCCAAGGAGGAAUGACCCCACUCACCAGUACAAACUGGGGACCAGAUGGCUGGAAAACAACUUUGUAGGUAAAGACCUGGGAGGUCCUGGUGGAUAACAAACUGACCAUGAGCCAGUGGUGCUUUCUCACAAUCAGCAACAUCAUGGGCUGGAUUAAGAAGAGCAUUGCCAGCAGGCCAAGGGAGAAGGAGGAAGGAGGUUUUGAUUCAUCCUUUUUGACCAAGCACUGCUGCCACUGGCAGAAACUGAGUUGGACCUUGUGAGUGUUUCAGAUACUUCUUGCCAGCUCUGAGGUCCAGCAGAGUCCUACAUGAAGGAUCUUAAACCCCAGUUUAAGGCUUGGAAAGCAGGACACAGAAGGAAGGGACCUGCCACAUAAUUAAGCCAGUGGUGGGUUAGGAAGUGACUGGACUCUUCUCUGAGACCUAGUUUAGUUCCCCCUGUGCUGGGUCAUGUUCUUGUAGGUCAUAUAUGUGUAUUCAAAAGUUGUGAAUGUACCCAAGAGUGUCAGGCUGGCCGAAGAGAUGUUUUGUGUUCAAAAUAAAGUCCUGU
Molecule: long non-coding RNA, 3086 nt
Organism: Vidua chalybeata
Lineage: Eukaryota; Metazoa; Chordata; Aves; Passeriformes; Viduidae
Exons: 3
Source: RefSeq, a predicted model, not a curated record